This 253-nucleotide unclassified non-coding RNA is filed under the name uncultured Heliobacteriaceae bacterium. RNAcentral's name for it is "contains 16S-23S intergenic spacer region". It matches the Rfam family "Bacterial small subunit ribosomal RNA", at positions 524 to 776 of the family's 1533-position model. The record is from RNAcentral. Lineage: Bacteria; Bacillati; Bacillota; Clostridia; Eubacteriales; Heliobacteriaceae.
UACGUAGGUGGCAAGCGUUGUCCGGAAUUACUGGGCGUAAAGGGCGUGUAGGCGGCCUUUUAAGUCAGACGUGAAAGGUCAGGGCUUAACCCUGGGACUGCGUUUGAGACUGAAGGGCUUGAGGAUCGGAGAGGGUAGUGGUAUUCCCAGUGUAGCGGUGAAAUGCGUAGAUAUUGGGAAGAACACCAGUGGCGAAGGCGACUGCUUGGACGACACCUGACGCUGAGGCGCGAAAGCUAGGGGAGCAAACGGG